Molecule: ribosomal RNA, 253 nt
Filed under: uncultured bacterium
Lineage: Bacteria
Description: partial 16S ribosomal RNA
Rfam family: Bacterial small subunit ribosomal RNA
Source: RNAcentral
UACGUAGGGGGCAAGCGUGGUCCGGAAUCAUUGGGCGUAAAGAGCGUGUAGGCGGCCAGAAAAGUCCGCUGUGAAAACUCGAGGCUCAACUUCGAGCUGUCGGUGGAAACUUUCUGGCUAGAGUCCGGAAGAGGAGAAUGGAAUUCCUGGUGUAGCGGUGAAAUGCGCAGAUAUCAGGAAGAACACCCGUGGCGAAGGCGGUUCUCUGGGACGGUACUGACGCUGAGACGCGAAAGCGUGGGGAGCGAACAGG